Molecule: non-coding RNA, 224 nt
Organism: Podarcis lilfordi (Lilford's wall lizard)
Lineage: Eukaryota; Metazoa; Chordata; Lepidosauria; Squamata; Lacertidae
Source: the annotation of a GenBank genome assembly
GAGAAUAGUUUUCCUAGCUGAUCUAUAUAUUAGCCAAAAUGUGUUGUACUCUCAGAUCCAAAAGCUAAACAGUGUACUAACCCCAGGGGAAAGAGUCAACAUAUUUUCUUCUGAGUGUGAUGCAAGUGAACAGUGUUGCACUUUUAUGCCUGGUACUUAUUAUUGAUUACCAUUCUCCUUUUUUUAAAGAAGAAGGUGGAGGACAAAAACACAAACUGAGUGGC